This 465-nucleotide ribosomal RNA is filed under the name uncultured bacterium. Its description in RNAcentral is "partial 16S ribosomal RNA". It matches the Rfam family "Bacterial small subunit ribosomal RNA", at positions 338 to 795 of the family's 1533-position model. The record is from RNAcentral.
CCUACGGGUGGCAGCAGUGGGGAAUAUUGCGCAAUGGGCGAAAGCCUGACGCAGCGACGCCGCGUGCGGGAUGAAGGUCUUCGGAUCGUAAACCUCUGUCAGCAGGGAAGAACGGUCACUGUGCUAAUCAGCAGUGAAUUGACGGUACCUGCAAAGGAAGCACCGGCUAACUCCGUGCCAGCAGCCGCGGUAAUACGGAGGGUGCGAGCGUUAAUCGGAAUUACUGGGCGUAAAGCGCUCGUAGGCGGUAUGUCAAGUCACGGGUGAAAUCCCCGCGCUCAACGUGGGAACUGCCUUUGAAACUGGCAAACUGGAGUGUGGGAGAGGAGAGUGGAAUUCCAGGUGUAGGAGUGAAAUGCGUAGAGAUCUGGAGGAACAUCAGUGGCGAAGGCGACUAUCUGGCACAUAACUGACGCUGAGGAGCGAAAGCGUGGGUAGCAAACAGGAUUAGAUACCCUAGUAGUC